This is a non-coding RNA of Aquila chrysaetos chrysaetos, 520 nucleotides long. NCBI's taxonomy places the organism in Eukaryota, Metazoa, Chordata, Aves, Accipitriformes, Accipitridae. The record is from the annotation of a RefSeq genome assembly.
UGAUCUGGCAGAGGCAGAAGAGGUGAAGCUGCAAGCAUCGGUUCCCUCCUGCUGACAGGUCCCUGGGCACCCCAUGAAGGGAGAGCGUGACAUGGUCCUGCUUUUCCUGGCAGCACUGGUGGGACUGGCAGACUUUGGUCACGCCCAAAAGGACUCUGUGCUCCAGUUUCCAGCAGAAAUGACCGUCCAGGCAGGGGAGAGCACAGCUCUGCACUGCAAUUUCUCCACCAGCUAUGCCGAUCCCUACAUCUACUGGUACCAGCAGCGCCAGUCCCAGUCCCCUCAGAUGCUGCUGUGGCUGAGCAAGUACAGAGCUCGUGUAGAUUCAGGGAGAUUCUCCUCUGCACUGACUGUGGAGACCUCCCAGGUGCUUCUGAAUGUGCGGGAUGCCGAGCUCCAGGACAGCGCUACCUAUUUCUGUGCACUGAGCCCACACUGGUGCCCACAGCUUCCAGCACUGCACAGAAACGUGGGGGGUGCUCUGAGGAGCAGUUCCCUCCCUGCCACUGCUUGCAUGUAG